GACGAACGCUGGCGGCGUGCCUAAUACAUGCAAGUCGACCUUAGUGGCGACCGGGUGAGUUACACGUGGGUAACCUACCCCUUCGAAGGGGGUAACACUUGGAAACAGGUGCUAUUACCGAAUACUGAUGGAUGGAGCCGUGUGGUCUUAGCUAGUCGGUGGGGUAACGGCUCACCAAGGCCACGAUGCAUAGCGGACCUGAGAGGGUGAUCAGCCACAUUGGGACUGAGACACGGCCCAAACUCCUACGGGAGGCAGCAGUAGGGAAUAUUCGGCAAUGGACGAAAGUCUGACCGAGCAACGCCGCGUGAGUGAAGAAGGUUUUCGGAUCGUAAAACUCUGUUGUUAGAGAAGCGGUAUCUAACCAGAAAGCCACGGCUAACUACGUGCCAGCAGCCGCGGUAAUUC
Molecule: ribosomal RNA, 408 nt
Filed under: uncultured bacterium
Lineage: Bacteria
Description: partial 16S ribosomal RNA
Rfam family: Bacterial small subunit ribosomal RNA
Source: RNAcentral